UUCGAUGUAUGAAUUAGAGAUUAGUUCGGUUAGAAAACGAUAAUCGCCGUUGCUGACGUCACCGCCGGUAAUCAACCAAUCAUAAAAUCCGAUUUCUCUUCCUCCUAUCCUUUAUCCUAAGCCUCUCCUUCUCCUCCUCCUCCUCCUCCGCGCACGUUAGCCUCUCUCUCCCUCCCUCCUUCCUAAUGGACACGACGCCGGAGACUCAAUCGAAGAGCGGCGGCUCAAGCCGUCUCCCGCCGGGACGCGAGGACUGGUGGAGCGAGGACGCGACGGCGACGCUGAUCG
Molecule: long non-coding RNA, 288 nt
Filed under: Brassica rapa (field mustard)
Lineage: Eukaryota; Viridiplantae; Streptophyta; Magnoliopsida; Brassicales; Brassicaceae
Description: long non-coding RNA (BRAP_LNC003907)
Source: RNAcentral